GAUCCCGAGCUGCUGUGAGCCUGUAAGGAAUCAGCACCAGCAUUUGGCUCGCGGAGUUUCACGUGGCCCGGAACGCGUCACCAACGCAGCUGUGGAAUCAGCCGGCUCCGUCUCUGAGUGAGGAAAAAAAGCGGUGUGCACAGAGGGGAACAUGUGCAGCUUUGGAAUCUGACAGACUUGGACUUGAGUCCAGCCCUGCACUCUUUUGCGGAACCCUGUGGAGAGCCCUCGUGGAAGGGGCAGACGGAGGGCAGGAACGCACCCCGAGGUCUGAGCAGCAGGCUUUGGGACCUCGCAGAAGCCACCGUGUGACGCUUCAAGGAGGAGGAAGCGUUUAAUAACAUCAAAGGCUCCUAGGAAGUCAAAGGAGAACCAGGUCUUAUCCACUGGACAUCGCCCAAAGGAGGUCAUCUUCAAUGACCUCGUCCAGACACUCCUGGCGGAGCGGU
Long non-coding RNA from Pteronotus mesoamericanus, 449 nucleotides. RefSeq lists it as uncharacterized. The record is from RefSeq and is a predicted model, not a curated record. NCBI's taxonomy places the organism in Eukaryota, Metazoa, Chordata, Mammalia, Chiroptera, Mormoopidae. The transcript is spliced from 3 exons.